Molecule: non-coding RNA, 23 nt
Filed under: Arabidopsis thaliana (thale cress)
Lineage: Eukaryota; Viridiplantae; Streptophyta; Magnoliopsida; Brassicales; Brassicaceae
Source: RNAcentral
AUUGUCCGUGGUAGAAUCGUCUA